This 450-nucleotide ribosomal RNA is filed under the name uncultured Glomeromycotina. Its description in RNAcentral is "SSU rRNA". It matches the Rfam family "Eukaryotic small subunit ribosomal RNA", at positions 569 to 1024 of the family's 1831-position model. The record is from RNAcentral. Lineage: Eukaryota; Fungi; Glomeromycota.
AGCAGCCGCGGUAAUUCCAGCUCCAAUAGCGUAUAUUAAAGUUGCUGCAGUUAAAAAGCUCGUAGUUGAAUUUCGGGACCAUCAUGUCGGUCGUGCCUCGGUACGUACUGGCAUUGUUGGUUUCUACCUUCUGACGAACCAUGAUGUCAUUUAUUUGGUGUCGUGGGGAAUCAGGACUGUUACUUUGAAAAAAUUAGAGUGUUUAAAGCAGGCUCACGCUUGAAUACAUUAGCAUGGAAUAAUGAAAUAGGACGUUUGAUUCUAUUUUGUUGGUUUCUAGGAUCGACGUAAUGAUUAAUAGGGAUAGUUGGGGGCAUUAGUAUUCAAUUGUCAGAGGUGAAAUUCUUGGAUUUAUUGAAGACUAACUACUGCGAAAGCAUUUGCCAAGGAUGUUUUCAUUAAUCAAGAACGAAAGUUAGGGGAUCGAAGACGAUCAGAUACCGUCGUAGU